RNAcentral lists this ribosomal RNA (450 nucleotides) under uncultured Glomeromycotina. RNAcentral describes it as "SSU rRNA". It matches the Rfam family "Eukaryotic small subunit ribosomal RNA", at positions 569 to 1024 of the family's 1831-position model. The record is from RNAcentral. Lineage: Eukaryota; Fungi; Glomeromycota.
AGCAGCCGCGGUAAUUCCAGCUCCAAUAGCGUAUAUUAAAGUUGUUGCAGUUAAAAAGCUCGUAGUUGAAUUUCGGGAUCAAUACGUCGGUCGUGCUUCGGUACGUACUGGCGUCAUUGAUUUCUCCCUUCUGACGAACCAUGAUGCCAUUAACUCGGUGUCAUGGGAAAUCAGGACUGUUACUUUGAAAAAAUUAGAGUGUUUAAAGCAGGCUCACGCUUGAAUACAUUAGCAUGGAAUAAUGAAAUAGGACGUUCGAUCCUAUUUUGUUGGUUUUUAGGAUCAACGUAAUGAUUAAUAGGGAUAGUUGGGGGCAUUAGUAUUCAAUUGUCAGAGGUGAAAUUCUUGGAUUUAUUGAAGACUAACUACUGCGAAAGCAUUUGCCAAGGAUGUUUUCAUUAAUCAAGAACGAAAGUUAGGGGAUCGAAGACGAUCAGAUACCGUCGUAGU